UAAUACGUAGGUGGCAAGCGUUGUCCGGAUUUACUGGGCGUAAAGCGCGCGCAGGCGGUGAACGAAGUCGAGAGUGAAAGCCCUGGGCUCAACUCAGGAACAGCUCUCGAAACCAGUUCACUUGAAGGCGGAAGAGGGAAGUGGAAUUCCGAGUGUAGUGGUGGAAUGCGUAGAUAUUCGGAAGAACACCAGAGGCGAAGGCGACUUCCUGGUCCGAUCUUGACGCUGAGGCGCGAAAGCUAGGGGAGCAAACGGGAUUAGAUACCCCGGUAGUCCUAGCUGUAAACGAUGGAUACUAGGCGUUGGAGGUUUUAACCCCUCCGGUGCCGUAGCUAACGCAUUAAGUAUCCCGCCUGGGGAGUACGGCCGCAAGGCUAAACUCAAAGGAAUUGACGGGGCCCCGCACAAGCAGCGGAGCGUGGGGUUUAAUUCGAUGCAACGCGAAGAACCUUACCAAGACUUGACAUGCACAUGACCGCGGCGGAAACGUCGCUUUCCCGAAAGGGACGCGUGCACAGGUGUUGCAU
Molecule: ribosomal RNA, 527 nt
Filed under: uncultured Levilinea sp.
Lineage: Bacteria; Bacillati; Chloroflexota; Anaerolineae; Anaerolineales; Anaerolineaceae
Description: bacterial SSU rRNA
Rfam family: Bacterial small subunit ribosomal RNA
Source: RNAcentral